CGGCCUUUAAGCGAAACGUUAGGGGAUAAGGAUGGAAUGGGUGGCUUCGGUCUUGUUCAAUCCCGACAAUUAAAGCGAAGAUAAACAUGUAGAAAGCAAAUUAAUUCCUCGUUUGGACGAGAGUUCGACUCUCUCCAGCUCCACAA
This 146-nucleotide transfer-messenger RNA is filed under the name Tannerellaceae bacterium. Its description in RNAcentral is "partial transfer-messenger RNA". It matches the Rfam family "transfer-messenger RNA", at positions 217 to 374 of the family's 374-position model. From Rfam's summary of the family: Bacterial tmRNA, also known as 10Sa RNA or SsrA, is named for its dual tRNA and mRNA-like properties. Its role is to liberate the mRNA from a stalled ribosome. The record is from RNAcentral. Lineage: Bacteria; Pseudomonadati; Bacteroidota; Bacteroidia; Bacteroidales; Tannerellaceae.